Molecule: ribosomal RNA, 196 nt
Filed under: uncultured bacterium
Lineage: Bacteria
Description: partial 16S ribosomal RNA
Rfam family: Bacterial small subunit ribosomal RNA
Source: RNAcentral
CCUACGGGAGGCAGCAGUCGAGGAUAGUCUACAAUGGCCGAAAGGCUGAUAGUGCGACGCCGCGUGAACGAGGAAGCAUUUCGGUGUGUAAAGUUCUUUUCCAUAUGAGCAGGGUAUCCCUGGUUAAGAGCGAGGGGUGCUUGAUAUUAGUAUGGGAAUAAGCCACGGCUAACUCCGUGCCAGCAGCCGCGGUAAU